RNAcentral lists this ribosomal RNA (484 nucleotides) under uncultured bacterium. Its description in RNAcentral is "partial 16S ribosomal RNA". It matches the Rfam family "Bacterial small subunit ribosomal RNA", at positions 29 to 507 of the family's 1533-position model. The record is from RNAcentral.
AUUGAACGCUGGCGGCAUGCUUUACACAUGCAAGUCGAACGGCAGCGCGGGCUUCGGCCUGGCGGCGAGUGGCGAACGGGUGAGUAAUGCAUCGGAACGUGCCCAGUAGUGGGGGAUAGCCCGGCAAAAGCCGGAUUAAUACCGCAUACGACCUGAGGGUGAAAGCGGGGGACCGAAAGGCCUCGCGCUAUUGGAGCGGCCGAUGUCGGAUUAGCUAGUUGGUGGGGUAAAGGCUUACCAAGGCGACGAUCCGUAGCUGGUCUGAGAGGACGACCAGCCACACUGGGACUGAGACACGGCCCAGACUCCUACGGGAGGCAGCAGUGGGGAAUUUUGGACAAAGGGGGCAACCCUGAUCCAGCCAUGCCGCGUGCGGGAAGAAGGCCUUCGGGUUGUAAACCGCUUUUGUUCGGGAAGAAAUCCUCUGGGCUAAUACCCCGGGGGGAUGACGGUACCGGAAGAAUAAGCACCGGCUAACUACGUG